GUGGGGAAUAUUGGGCAAUGGGCGCAAGCCUGAUCCAGCAAUGCCGCGUGCAGGAAGAAGGCCUUCGGGUUGUAAACUGCUUUUGUACGGAACGAAACGGUCCGGGUUAAUACCCUGGGCUAAUGACGGUACCGUAAGAAUAAGCACCGGCUAACUACGUGCCAGCAGCCGCGGUAAUACGUAGGGUGCAAGCGUUAAUCGGAAUUACUGGGCGUAAAGCGUGCGCAGGCGGUUUUGUAAGACAGGCGUGAAAUCCCCGGGCUCAACCUGGGAAUUGCGCUUGUGACGGCAAGGCUGGAGUGCGGCAGAGGGGGAUGGAAUUCCGCGUGUAGCAGUGAAAUGCGUAGAUAUGCGGAGGAACACCGAUGGCGAAGGCAAUCCCCUGGGCCUGCACUGACGCUCAUGCACGAAAGCGUGGGGAGCAAACAGGAUUAGAUACCCUAGUAGUCC
This 450-nucleotide ribosomal RNA is filed under the name uncultured bacterium. RNAcentral describes it as "bacterial SSU rRNA". It matches the Rfam family "Bacterial small subunit ribosomal RNA", at positions 354 to 796 of the family's 1533-position model. The record is from RNAcentral.